This 256-nucleotide ribosomal RNA is filed under the name uncultured bacterium. RNAcentral's name for it is "partial 16S ribosomal RNA". It matches the Rfam family "Bacterial small subunit ribosomal RNA", at positions 524 to 776 of the family's 1533-position model. The record is from RNAcentral.
UACGUAGGGUGCAAGCGUUGUCCGGAAUUAUUGGGCGUAAAGAGCUCGUAGGCGGUUUGUUGCGUCGGCUGUGAAAUCCCGAGGCUCAACCUCGGGUCUGCAGUCGAUACGAGCAAACUAGAGUGUUGCAGGGGAGACUGGAAUUCCUGGUGUAGCGGUGAAAUGCGCAGAUAUCAGGAGGAACACCGGUGGCGAAGGCGGGUCUCUGGGCAACAACUGACGCUGGAGGAAGCGAAAGCCGUGGGGAGCAAACAGG